This 589-nucleotide ribosomal RNA is filed under the name uncultured bacterium. RNAcentral's name for it is "bacterial SSU rRNA". It matches the Rfam family "Bacterial small subunit ribosomal RNA", at positions 334 to 917 of the family's 1533-position model. The record is from RNAcentral.
UACUCCUACGGGAGGCAGCAGUGGGGAAUAUUGCGCAAUGGGGGGAACCCUGACGCAGCCAUGCCGCGUGAAUGAAGAAGGCCUUCGGGUUGUAAAGUUCUUUCGGUAUUGAGGAAGGUUGAUGUGUUAAUAGCACAUCAAAUUGACGUUAAAUACAGAAGAAGCACCGGCUAACUCCGUGCCAGCAGCCGCGGUAAUACGGAGGGUGCGAGCGUUAAUCGGAAUAACUGGGCGUAAAGGGCACGCAGGCGGUUAUUUAAGUGAGGUGUGAAAGCCCUGGGCUUAACCUAGGAAUUGCAUUUCAGACUGGGUAACUAGAGUACUUUAGGGAGGGGUAGAAUUCCACGUGUAGCGGUGAAAUGCGUAGAGAUGUGGAGGAAUACCGAAGGCGAAGGCAGCCCCUUGGGAAUGUACUGACGCUCAUGUGCGAAAGCGUGGGGAGCAAACAGGAUUAGAUACCCUGGUAGUCCACGCUGUAAACGCUGUCGAUUUGGGGGUUGGGGUUUAACUCUGGCGCCCGUAGCUAACGUGAUAAAUCGACCGCCUGGGGAGUACGGCCGCAAGGUUAAAACUCAAAUGAAUUGACGGA